This 3768-nucleotide long non-coding RNA is filed under the name Podarcis lilfordi (Lilford's wall lizard). The record is from RNAcentral. Lineage: Eukaryota; Metazoa; Chordata; Lepidosauria; Squamata; Lacertidae.
AAAAGAAUGAAGAUCACCUUUAUUACCCCCAAAACCGUAAUGACAUUUGACAUUAUAGUGAUUUUCUCAUUUAUACUUGUGGCUUCUCUACAUUAGGAAGCAAAAAUCAGAGAACACAAACACAAUUGGUUGAAUCAGAGACGGCACAGCAUUCCAUUAGAAAACAAAAAACCAGAAUACACUAGUGGAGCAAGUUAGAAAUGGUGUGGGCGGGGGGGAAAGACACAUUCAUAAACCAUUCUCCUCUAGCCCCACAAAAUCUGAACAAGAAUAAUUGAAAGAACAGAGCAGUGGAACUAACAUAUCUUCUAUACUUGCUUUUAAUGAUAAUGGAAUCUUUAGAUUUUACUUAAAUCUGUGUUUAGUUUAGAAUAGGCAUAGGCAAACCCAGCCCUCCAGAUGUUUUGGGACUACAACUCCCAUCAUCCCUAGCUAACAGGACCAGUGGUCAGGGAUGAUGGGAAUUGUAGUCCCAAAACAUCUGGAGGGCUGAGUUUGCCUAUGCCUGGUUUAGAAAAUGUUAAAUCUAUCUCUUCAAGCAUUCUUUAAAAAAGUUUGCAUAGUCCCAUUUUCCCUUUCCAAAAAUAUCUACGCGCUCUCUUUCUCUCUAUAGAAUUAUCUGAAUAUAAACUGAGCGCAGCUCUCUUCUGAGCCUCAAUAACUUUUCCAAGAAAAUAAACAUGAUCUCUCUCAUUUUUUUUCUAACCCUCUCAAAAAUAUGGGCUUAAAAAACAAAACUAGCAAACAUUUUCUCUUGAAGCAAAGUAAAAGAAUCAGAGGCUCUACUCUUAAGUUCCAAGUUCCUUUUACUUCUCCAGGGGAAGGGGAAUAUAUCUCCCCCCACUAGCCAAAGAGGGAAGGGGAAAGGUUAGGACAGACUGGGGUGGCUUCCUUCCCCACGCUGGUUGGGACUGAUGGGAACUGCAGUCCACCAAUAUUGAGAGGGCCACGUUUCCCAGUCCUGACAUAGGAUGGCCAGGUGCAGUCAGCCCACAAUGGGGACUCUGCAGAACAAGACCCUUGGGAUGUGGAGGGCUAAAGAUCCUACAAACACUUGCUGCUAGGCAGAGAGUUUGUGCAUCAGGCCCUAUGAAGAGCAGCCCUGUCCACAGGGCAAAGAAACAAUGGCACAUAUUUCCUUAGCUAGCUUGAGGAGGGGAGCAGGAAAAGUGGGUUCGUUUAGCAGCUCCUGAGAUCAAGCUACAAGGGAGAGAUCUGCUCUUCUCCUUGAGGUUCCCCCUCUCCAGGAGAGGUGCAUUUAACAUGGGCGCUUUAACGCGAUGCGUACCAGGUAUGGGGCCUUCCAGAGGUUCACAUUAUGGGCACAGUCCAGCUGCACAAGAGUUUGUUUUUUUGUUGUUAAGCGGGGGGGGGGGAAGAAUACACAAAAUGAAAUAUAAACACAGCUCAUGUUCAAGACCUUAAAUCGCCACUCAUUGGUGUCUUGGGCUUUCUUUACAAAGGAACAAACCAUGCCUUUUAAAAUAAGGAAAUAAAUCAUCUCAACAAGUCAGGGGCAGCCAGGUGAAUUUAGUACAUAACUACUUUUUUGCCCCUCCCCAAGUGCUGAGCAAACUGUGAAAUUCAGUUACCUGAUCCCUUUCACCACCAUUCUAGCCUUCAGGGUCUCUACUGAGCCCAUCUCCAUCAUCAGUGCAGCAGGAGAUUAGCACGAUUCACUAAGGCUCAAUGUAUUACCCACAGGGAAAAGGUGCCUCAUUCGCUACCCACCACAAAUACCAUUACACUGAAUACCCUUUGCAUUCUGCAGAUCAGAUUCACAGAGAGACAGGGAGAUACCAAAAAACAGAAAGUCUAAGUUGCAGGAGAGUUGAAGCCCAACCUGUUCUCAUUUGGCACUGGACAUAGGAGGACAAAAAUACUGCUCCCUAUCAGCUAACAGCUUUCUCUAACCAGGUACCUCCAGAUAAGCUGGUCUACAACUGCCAUCAUCCCUGAUGAUUGGCCAUACUAGCUAGUCCUGAAGGGAGUUGCGAGUUCAACACCAUCCAGAUGGUCUUAGGGUGGUAUCCAACUAUGUUCUACCCAGUGAAAUUAAUGGGCCCAAGUUGGUAAUAUUCAUUAAUUUGAGUGGGUCUGUUCUGAGUAGAACCAACAUGGAUACAAACAUUUGCCCCUAUAAAAUCUUUUGCGAGACCCGAGGGGAUGGGAAUUUGAUGGAGGUGUUAUUGCCGAAACUUCUGGGUUUUAAAGCAGUAUGACUAUCAAAAUGGCGAGGCUUCACUGGGUUCCUGCUUUGUCUCACACAAGCUAGAAAUAAUAAUAAUAACCCCCAACACAAGAUAGCAAUGAAACAGUGAUUCCCCUCAAAAAAAAAAGAAAAGAAAAAAAGAAGAAGCUGCAAAACACCAGCCUGCUGGGUUCAUAAACAAAAUUCAACAAAAAUUCAAGAAUAAAGAAAUGAAAAAAAGUCUCUAAGCAGGAUCAGUGGUCUGAGAAGUUCAAUUAAGAAACAAAAAAAUACAACCAUUAUCUUCCAGUCAACUAGGAACAAACACACCAAUCAUGCCAAGAAAGACAGUGCUUGUGAUGCAACUAACAUUUUAAGCAGCAGCAGAAUGGCUGACCAAAAAAAGUCCCCAGCUCCCCCAACACAGAUCCUAUUCAACUAGUGAAGUGCACUUAGAGAAGAGCCAUGGAUGGAAUUUUAGGAUGGGGUGAUAAAAUCAUAGACCCCACAGACUCCCUUGGUUCUUACUAAUAUUGAAACAAAACUGGUUUAGCCUUGAAAGCAGUACCAAGUGGCAUGGCACAACAGAGCACACAAUUUCAUCAUAGCAACACAUUUUAAGUCAAAGCUUCAAGAACCUAACAAGCCAUCAAGAGCACUGAAAGAUGGCCCCUAAGAACAGCUGUUACUGGCUGGGGCCUGCAGGGAGCUGUCACCCCAAACUUCUAGGGGACACCAGUUUGGGGAAGGUAGCAACAGAAGGAUGCCCUUUCCCCUCCUACUUCCUCCUGAUCAGGGGUCCCCAAACUAAGGCCCGCAGGCCGGAUAAGGCCCGAGGGACUCAUUUAUCCGGCCCGCGGCAACCCCCACAGGGUCUAUCCAUUUGGUCCGUGAGGCUAUUUUGGCCAAGCCAUGCCCACCUGCCCUACACGGCAACUGAAAAGAGGGGCUUGCAAGCACCACUGCUUGGCAAUGCCUACAGAACCCCUAAGAAAAGCACUGCUCAAGGUAGGACUGUGAAAGGGGCUUCUGAAGAGCAGAUAAUCAGCUGAUUGUUGUGUCUUCAGAAGCUCCUUCAAAGCCCCAUCCAGCACAGCAUUUGGAAAGGGGUUUAGCAAAACUGAUUACAAGGCCCCUUCAGGUUUUGGCCACCUGUCAAACUUGGCCCAAAAGCAGUAGGUGGAGUAAAAUCUGGCCCACUAGUCAGAAUGAAUUCCCCCCUCCCUUCAGUAGAUGAUGUGCGCAGCCUGGAGCCCUAAAUAUAGCUAAACCCUAAAGAAAGGAUGCUCCAAAGCAUGCACAGUGGUACCUCUGGUUGAAAAGAGCGCAACCCGCAGCGGCAUGUCUGCGUACAUGCGGGUUGCGAUUCACCGCUUGUGCGCAUGGCGUCAUUUUGCAUAUCUGCGCAUGCGCGAGUAGUGAAACCCAGAAGUAACCCUUCCGGGUUGCGCAGGACGUAACCUGAAUGAAGCGGACAUAACAUGAGGUAUGACUGUAAAGUGAAGGCUGUGUGCCCGCACUUCCACCUCAGAACACAGUGGUCUAGUCAGUUCAGAGACAGCAACCCUACAGAGCCA